This 440-nucleotide ribosomal RNA is filed under the name uncultured bacterium. RNAcentral describes it as "partial 16S ribosomal RNA". It matches the Rfam family "Bacterial small subunit ribosomal RNA", at positions 338 to 795 of the family's 1533-position model. The record is from RNAcentral.
CCUACGGGAGGCAGCAGUGGGUAAUAUUGCACAAUGGGGGAAACCCUGAUGCAGCGACGCCGCGUGAGUGAAGAAGUAAUUCGUUAUGUAAAGCUCUAUCAGCAGGGAAGAAAAUGACGGUACCUGAGUAAGAAGCCCCGGCUAACUACGUGCCAGCAGCCGCGGUAAUAUGUAGGGGGCAAGCGUUAUCCGGAUUUACUGGGUGUAAAGGGAGCGUAGACGGCAGUGCAAGUCUGGAGUGAAAGGCGGGGGCUCAACCCCCGGACUGCUCUGGAAACUGUACGGCUGGAGUGCAGGAGGGGUAAGUGGAAGUCCUAGUGUAGCGGUGAAAUGCGUAGAUAUUAGGAGGAACACCAGUGGCGAAGGCGGCUGACUGGACUGUAACUGACGUUGAGGCUCGAAAGCGUGGGGAGCAAACAGGAUUAGAUACCCGUGUAGUC